This 476-nucleotide ribosomal RNA is filed under the name uncultured bacterium. RNAcentral's name for it is "partial 16S ribosomal RNA". It matches the Rfam family "Bacterial small subunit ribosomal RNA", at positions 28 to 523 of the family's 1533-position model. The record is from RNAcentral.
GAUGAACGCUGGCGGCGUGCUUAACACAUGCAAGUCGAGCGAGUGAGUUCUUCGGAACGAUCUAGCGGCGGACGGGUGAGUAACACGUGGGCAACCUGCCUCAUAGAGGGGAAUAGCCUCCCGAAAGGGAGAUUAAUACCGCAUAAAAUUAUCGAGUGGCAUCACAUGAUAAUCAAAGGAGUAAUCCGCUAUGAGAUGGGCCCGCGGCGCAUUAGCUAGUUGGUGAGGUAAAGGCUCACCAAGGCGACGAUGCGUAGCCGACCUGAGAGGGUGAUCGGCCACAUUGGGACUGAGACACGGCCCAGACUCCUACGGGAGGCAGCAGUGGGGAAUAUUGCACAAUGGGAGAAACCCUGAUGCAGCAACGCCGCGUGAGUGAUGAAGGUCUUCGGAUUGUAAAGCUCUGUCUUUGGGGACGAUAAUGACGGUACCCAAGGAGGAAGCCACGGCUAACUACGUGCCAGCAGCCGCCGUAA